UUCCGGUUGAUCCUGCCGGACCUGACUGCUAUCGGAUUGAUACUAAGCCAUGCGAGUCUUUGUAGUAAUACAAGGCAUACGGCUCAGUAACGCGUAGUCAACCUACCCUAUGGACAAGAAUAAUCUCGGGAAACUGAGCAUAAUUCUUGAUAGAUCAUAAUGCCUGGAAUGGUAUAUGGUUAAAAUGAUUCGUCGCCAUAGGAUGGGACUGCGGCCUAUCAGCUUGUUGGUGAGGUAAUGGCCCACCAAGGCGAUUACAGGUACGGGCUCUGAGAGGAGAAGCCCGGAGAUGGGUACUGAGACAAGGACCCAGGCCCUAUGGGGCGCAGCAGGCGAGAAAACUUUGCAAUGUGCGAAAGCACGACAAGGUUAGUCCGAGUGAUUUCUGCUAAAGAGAUCUUUUGCUAGUUAUAAAACCACUAGUGAAUAAGGGGUGGGCAAGUUCUGGUGUCAGCCGCCGCGGUAAAACCAGCACCUCAAGUGGUCAGGAUGAUUAUUGGGCCUAAAGCAUCCGUAGCCGGCUCUGUAAGUUUUCGGUUAAAUCUAUACGCUCAACGUAUGGGCUGCCGAAAAUACUGCAGAGAUAGGGAGUGGGAGAGGUAGACGGUACUCGGUAGGAAGGGGUAAAAUCCUUUGAUCUAUCGAUGACCACCUGUGGCGAAGGCGGUCUACCAGAACACGUUCGACGGUGAGGGAUGAAAGCUGGGGGAGCAAACCGGAUUAGAUACCCGGGUAGUCCCAGCCGUAAACGAUGCAGACUCGAUGAUGCAUUGGCAUAUAGCCAGUGCAGUGUCGCAGGGAAGCCGUUAAGUCUGCCGCCUGGGAAGUACGUACGCAAGUAUGAAACUUAAAGGAAUUGGCGGGGGAGCACCACAAGGGGUGAAGCCUGCGGUUCAAUUGGAUUCAACGCCGG
RNAcentral lists this ribosomal RNA (913 nucleotides) under uncultured marine archaeon. RNAcentral's name for it is "bacterial SSU rRNA". It matches the Rfam family "Archaeal small subunit ribosomal RNA", at positions 1 to 921 of the family's 1478-position model. The record is from RNAcentral.